GACGAACGCUGGCGGCGUGCUUAACACAUGCAAGUCGAGCGGUAAGGCCCCUCGGGGUACGACGAGCGGCGAACGGGUGAGUAACACGUGGGUGGACCUGCCCUCCAGCUCUGGGAUAAGCCUGGGAAACUGGGUCUAAUACCGGAGUAUGACUCCAUGACGCAUGUCGUGGGGUGGAAAGCCUUGUGCGGCUGGGGAUGGCCCGCGGCCUAUCAGCUUGUUGGUGGGGUGAUGGCCUACCAAGGC
Molecule: ribosomal RNA, 246 nt
Filed under: uncultured bacterium
Lineage: Bacteria
Description: partial 16S ribosomal RNA
Rfam family: Bacterial small subunit ribosomal RNA
Source: RNAcentral